This 565-nucleotide long non-coding RNA is filed under the name Elaeis guineensis (African oil palm). RNAcentral's name for it is "long non-coding RNA (EGUI_LNC044647)". Lineage: Eukaryota; Viridiplantae; Streptophyta; Magnoliopsida; Arecales; Arecaceae. The record is from RNAcentral.
UCUUCACAAAUUUGGGCAGCACAACACUCCUCUUGUGUUUUUCUGAACACCCUCCUCCCUUGGCUUGUCUUUCUCUACCUUUCUUAUCUCUUUAUCUUUCUUUUCUAUCUUCCAAAACCCUUGUUCUAAAUCAGACAUACCCUUACUAUAUUUGGACUUGUCCUAAUAAGCGAAGGAAGAAAGAAAUUGGACAAUCUAGAGAUGAAUGUAAGAAAGAAGAGAUAGACUUUUCAAUGCCAAAACACCGAAGACUCCAUGCUAUUUAUAAUUAGCGUGGAGUCGCAUAUCAAUGGGUGCCAUCCAAUCCACAUGCCCCAAAUGAAUUUUCAGAGGUCUUUCCAUGUUCUAAUUUAAGAAAAAGUCAUAUCUGAUAAGAAUUCUUCUGCAGGUGAAACUCUCUUAUCAGAUACGACGUUUGAUUCUUCGCCCGUGCGCACCCAAUAAAAGAUGCUAUAAGUAUCUUUUCAUUAAUCAGAUUAUUUUCAAAUUUUUACAUAUGAAAAUUCUUUCCUUAAAUGUUUAGAAACCAGAAGAUUAUCUGAUAUAAGUGGUGCCUAAGAGACUU